This 238-nucleotide unclassified non-coding RNA is filed under the name fungal sp. Its description in RNAcentral is "partial internal transcribed spacer region". The stretch from base 1 to 46 matches the Rfam family "Eukaryotic small subunit ribosomal RNA", at positions 1786 to 1831 of the family's 1831-position model. The record is from RNAcentral. Lineage: Eukaryota; Fungi.
AAGUCGUAACAAGGUAACGGUAGGUGAACCUGCGGUUGGAUCAUUACUGAUACUUGAUCAUAGAGUUGAUACCGAAAGGAGUCCUCUAUGAUCAAAUAAACCCCUUGUGCACCAUGCUGUUUUUGGGUCAUUCCUAUUUAAUAGGGUGGCCCGACAAUUUAAACAAACCAAACCAAUUUGAUCUUAAAAAAGUAUAUGAAAAUAUAAACAACUUUUGACAACGGAUCUCUUGGCUCUC